CAGACAGCACAAGUACACGGUAC
Molecule: non-coding RNA, 23 nt
Filed under: Arabidopsis thaliana (thale cress)
Lineage: Eukaryota; Viridiplantae; Streptophyta; Magnoliopsida; Brassicales; Brassicaceae
Source: RNAcentral